This 253-nucleotide ribosomal RNA is filed under the name uncultured bacterium. Its description in RNAcentral is "partial 16S ribosomal RNA". It matches the Rfam family "Bacterial small subunit ribosomal RNA", at positions 524 to 776 of the family's 1533-position model. The record is from RNAcentral.
UACGUAGGGUGCGAGCGUUAAUCGGAAUUACUGGGCGUAAAGCGUGCGCAGGCGGUUCGUUGUGUCGGCGGUGAAAGCCCCGGGCUUAACCUGGGAAUGGCCGUUGAAACUGGCGAACUGGAGUGUGGCAGAGGGGGGUGGAAUUCCGCGUGUAGCAGUGAAAUGCGUAGAGAUGCGGAGGAACACCGAUGGCGAAGGCAGCCCCCUGGGCCAACACUGACGCUCAUGCACGAAAGCGUGGGGAGCAAACAGG